Molecule: ribosomal RNA, 543 nt
Filed under: uncultured archaeon
Lineage: Archaea
Description: bacterial SSU rRNA
Rfam family: Archaeal small subunit ribosomal RNA
Source: RNAcentral
GGCAGCAGCCGCGGGAACACCGGCGGCCCGAGUGGUGAUCGUGAUUAUUGGGUCUAAAGGGUCCGUAGCCGGUUUGGUCAGUCCUCCGGGAAAUCUGAUAGCUCAACUAUUAGGCUUUCGGGGGAUACUGCCAGACUUGGAACCGGGAGAGGUAAGAGGUACUACAGGGGUAGGAGUGAAAUCUUGUAAUCCCUGUGGGACCACCUGUGGCGAAGGCGUCUUACCAGAACGGGUUCGACGGUGAGGGACGAAAGCUGGGGGCACGAACCGGAUUAGAUACCCGGGUAGUCCCAGCCGUAAACGAUGCUCGCUAGGUGUCAGGCAUGGCGCGACCGUGUCUGGUGCCGCAGGGAAGCCGUGAAGCGAGCCACCUGGGAAGUACGGCCGCAAGGCUGAAACUUAAAGGAAUUGGCGGGGGAGCACAACAACGGGUGGGAAGCCUGCGGUUUAAUUGGACUCAACGCCGGACAACUCACCGGGGGCGACAGCAAUAUGUAGGCCAAGCUGAAGACUUUGCCUGAAUCGCUGAGAAGAGGUGCAUGG